GAAGACAUUGUGUCUUCGAGUCGUUGAUUUCACACUGCCGAGAAAAGCCUCUAGAUAGAAAAUAGGUGCCCGUACCGCAAACCGACACAGGUAGUCAAGAUGAGAAUUCUAAGGUGAGCGAGCGAACUCUCGUUAAGGAACUCGGCAAAAUGACCCCGUAACUUCGGGAGAAGGGGUGCUCUUUAGGGUUAACGCCCAGAAGAGCCGCAGUGAAUAGGCCCAAGCGACUGUUUAUCAAAAACACAGGUCUCUGCUAAACCGUAAGGUGAUGUAUAGGGGCUGACGCCUGCCCGGUGCUGGAAGGUUAAGAGGAGUGGUUAGCUUCUGCGAAGCUACGAAUCGAAGCCCCAGUAAACGGCGGCCGUAACUAUAACGGUCCUAAGGUAGCGAAAUUCCUUGUCGGGUAAGUUCCGACCCGCACGAAAGGCGUAACGAUUUGGGCACUGUCUCAACGAGAGACUCGGUGAAAUCAUAGUACCUGUGAAGAUGCAGGUUACCCGCGACAGGACGGAAAGACCCCGUGGAGCUUUACUGUAGCCUGAUAUUGAAAUUCGGCACAGCUUGUACAGGAUAGGUAGGAGCCUUUGAAACGUGAGCGCUAGCUUACGUGGAGGCGCUGGUGGGAUACUACCCUAGCUGUGUUGGCUUUCUAACCCGCACCACUUAUCGUGGUGGGAGACAGUGUCAGGCGGGCAGUUUGACUGGGGCGGUCGCCUCCUAAAAGGUAACGGAGGCGCUCAAAGGUUCCCUCAGAAUGGUUGGAAAUCAUUCAUAGAGUGUAAAGGCAUAAGGGAGCUUGACUGCGAGACCUACAAGUCGAGCAGGGUCGAAAGACGGACUUAGUGAUCCGGUGGUUCCGCAUGGAAGGGCCAUCGCUCAACGGAUAAAAGCUACCCCGGGGAUAACAGGCUUAUCUCCCCCAAGAGUUCACAUCGACGGGGAGGUUUGGCACCUCGAUGUCGGCUCAUCGCAUCCUGGGGCUGUAGUCGGUCCCAAGGGUUGGGCUGUUCGCCCAUUAAAGCGGUACGCGAGCUGGGUUCAGAACGUCGUGAGACAGUUCGGUCCCUAUCCGUCGUGGGCGUAGGAAAUUUGAGAGGAGCUGUCCUUAGUACGAGAGGACCGGGAUGGACAUACCUCUGGUGUACCAGUUGUCGUGCCAACGGCAUAGCUGGGUAGCUAUGUGUGGACGGGAUAAGUGCUGAAAGCAUCUAAGCAUGAAGCCCCCCUCAAGAUGAGAUUUCCCAACUUCGGUUAUAAGAUCCCUCAAAGAUGAUGAGG
This 1278-nucleotide ribosomal RNA is filed under the name Staphylococcus aureus. RNAcentral's name for it is "partial 23S ribosomal RNA". It matches the Rfam family "Bacterial large subunit ribosomal RNA", at positions 1572 to 2852 of the family's 2925-position model. The record is from RNAcentral. Lineage: Bacteria; Bacillati; Bacillota; Bacilli; Caryophanales; Staphylococcaceae.